Molecule: ribosomal RNA, 720 nt
Filed under: Stenotrophomonas acidaminiphila
Lineage: Bacteria; Pseudomonadati; Pseudomonadota; Gammaproteobacteria; Lysobacterales; Lysobacteraceae
Description: bacterial SSU rRNA
Rfam family: Bacterial small subunit ribosomal RNA
Source: RNAcentral
CUGCGCUCACCUGCGAACGCGGAUGGAUACUGGGCGACUAGAGUGUUGGUAGAGGGUAGAGGAAUUCCUGCUGUAGCAGUGAAACUGCGUAGAGAUCAGGAGGAACACCCGUGGCGAAGGCAGUUCCUGCCCCCACCUCUCACACUCAGGCGCGAAAGCGUGGGGGCGCAAAACAGGAAUAAGAUACCCUGGUAGUCCCCGCCCCUAAACGAUGCGAACUGGAUGUUGGGUGCAAGUUGGCUCGCAGUAUCGAAGCUAACGCGUUAAGUUUCUCCCCCUGGGGAGUGCGGUCGCAAGAUUGAAACUCAAAGGAAUUGACGGGGGCCCGCACAACCGGUGGAGUAUGUGGUUUAAUUCGAUUCAACGCGAAGAACCUUACCUGCCCUUGACAUGCACAGAACUUUCCAGAGAUGGAUUUGUGCCUUCGGGAACCGGAACACAGGUGCUCCAUGGCUGUCGUCAGUUCGUCUCGUGAGAUGUUGGGUUAAGUCCCGCAACGAGCCCAACCCUUGUCCCUAGUUGCCAGCACGUAAUGGUGGGAACUUUAAGGAGACCGCCGGUGACAAACCGGAGGAAGGUGGGGAUGACGUCAAGUCAUCAUGGCCCUUUCGGCCAGGGCUACACACGUACUACAAUGGUAGGGACAGAGGGCUGCAAGCCGGCGACGGUGAGCCAAUCCCAGAAACCCUAUUUCAGUCCGGAUUGGAGUUUGCAACUCGA